UCCGGGAUCGUCUAACGGCAGGACAGCGGGCUUUGACCCCGCGGAUGCAGGUUCGACCCCUGCUCCCGGAA
Non-coding RNA from Archangium gephyra, 71 nucleotides. The record is from Rfam. NCBI's taxonomy places the organism in Bacteria, Pseudomonadati, Myxococcota, Myxococcia, Myxococcales, Archangiaceae.